RNAcentral lists this non-coding RNA (28 nucleotides) under Rattus norvegicus (Norway rat). Lineage: Eukaryota; Metazoa; Chordata; Mammalia; Rodentia; Muridae. The record is from RNAcentral.
UCCGAAGUCAUAGACAAGUUGGAAAGUG